Molecule: long non-coding RNA, 1025 nt
Filed under: Homo sapiens (human)
Lineage: Eukaryota; Metazoa; Chordata; Mammalia; Primates; Hominidae
Description: HSALNT0341950
Source: RNAcentral
CAGAUCCUGAAACUUUCCUGGGGAAGGUCAGCCUCAGAUACUGACAAGACACCAAGGGACUGCAGCUGCUUACUAUGGAAAGAGCAUGACCCUAUGAAGAAAGGAGAUGAAGAGAAAAAGUCAUAAGAUCAGCAAGAAGAGAAACUGUAGAUUUGCCUCAACUCAACAUGUUAAGUAAUCGCCUGACAUCUACAUAAGACCACCUCUUGGCACCUGGCUACACAAGCUGAAAUGGGUGAAUGGUUAAACAAAUUGUGGUACAUUCCUACAAUGAAAUACUACUCAGCAAUAAGAAGGAAUAGACUGUUGAUACGUUCAACAAGUUGGGUGAAUCUCAAAGACACUAUGCUGAGUAAAAGAAGCCAUCUCAAAAGGGCUGCAUACCAAAAGGAACAAAAGCACAAAACAAACAAACAAACAAACAAACAAGCAAAUGAUGGUGGAAACUAUUUUCAAAACUUCCCUGUUCUGGUAAAGACGUUUUCAGAGCUCAAACUAGUCCUGCUGAAAAUAUUUUUUAAAAUAUGAAAGCAUAGCGGAAAAUUUGUAUGAAAAAGAAAAAAGAAAAAGAAGGAGGAGGAAGAAGAAGAAGAAAGAAGAAAAAGGAGAGGAAGAAGAAGAAGGAGGAGGAGGAGAAGAAGAGGAGGAGGAGGAGGAGGAAAUGGCAGAGACAAUGUAUGUCCCAGAAAGCCUAAAAUGUGUACUGUUUGUCCGUUUAUAGAAAAAGUGUGCCAGUCCCUACUCUGUUCCCAAUUUUAAAAACAAAUAAAUAAAAAGAAAAACAAGCAAGUCUCUCAGCCAAGAAAGAAUCGAUGGGAACUUUUUCAACUUUAUAAAGUGGAUCUACAAAAAACUACAACUAACACUAACGUCACACCUAAUGGUGAAAGUCUGAAUGUUUUCCCUCUAAGACUAGGAAAAGGUGGCAUGGAUGUCCACUCUCCCUACUCUAUUCAGCAUUGUAUCAAAAGUUCUUAUCAGUGAAAUAAGACAAGAAAACAAUAAAUGGCAUCCAUAUUGGAAAA